GGAAAGGGCUGAUAUCGACAAUGUGAAGUGUGUGUUGCAAGCUGAACAUGAAAAGGUUCAAAACCGGACUUUCACAAACUGGGUCAACGCACAGCUAGCAAAGCACAAACCCCCAUCUGUCAUCCACGACUUGUUCCAGGAUCUUCGGGAUGGACACAGACUCUUGGAUUUACUGGAGGUUCUG
Long non-coding RNA from Hemiscyllium ocellatum (epaulette shark), 184 nucleotides. RefSeq lists it as uncharacterized. Lineage: Eukaryota; Metazoa; Chordata; Chondrichthyes; Orectolobiformes; Hemiscylliidae. The record is from RefSeq and is a predicted model, not a curated record. The transcript is spliced from 3 exons.